Molecule: long non-coding RNA, 884 nt
Filed under: Zea mays
Lineage: Eukaryota; Viridiplantae; Streptophyta; Magnoliopsida; Poales; Poaceae
Description: long non-coding RNA (ZMAY_LNC002135)
Source: RNAcentral
CACCUCCACCGGUGAAAUCUCCACCACCGCUGGCUCCAGUGAGCUCACCUUCUCCUCCGGUGAAGUUGCCACCACUACCAGCUCCUGGGAAAUCAACCCCACCUCCAGAAGAGGAAAAACCAACACCACCUACUCCAGUAAAGUCAUCGCCGCCUCCAGAGAAGUCUCUACCUCCACCCACUCUGACUACCUCUCCACCACCACAAGAGAAGCCUACUCCUCCAUCAACUCCAUCCAAACCACCACCAUCUCCAGUUGAGACACUACCUCCUCCAUCAAAGUCUUCUCCACCGGAAGAACCAGUUAGCUCACCACCUCAAGCACCAAAGUCGUCAUCUCCACCAGCUCCUGUAAGCUCACCACCUCCACUGAAGUCUUCUCCGCCUCCAGUACCAGAGAGCUCACCACCACCGACACCUAAGUCAUCACCUCCACUGGCUCCAGUGAGCUCACCACCUCAAGUGGAGAAGACUUCUCCACCACCAGCACCAGUCAGCUCACCACCACCGACACCUAAGUCAUCACCUCCACUAGCUCCAGUGAGCUCACCACCUCAAGUAGAGAAGACUUCUCCACCACCAGCACCAGUCAGCUCACCACCACCAACACCUAAGUCAUCACCUCCACUAGCUCCAGUGAGCUCACCACCUCAAGUAGAGAAGACUUCUCCACCACCAGCACCAGUCAGCUCACCACCAUUGGAGCCUAAGCCAUCAUCUCCACCUAGUUCUGUGAGCUCUCCACCUACGACGGUGAAGUCUUCUCCACCACCAGCACCACUUAGCUCGCCACCAAUGACGCCUAAGUCAUCAAGCCCACCUGCACACGUGAGCUCGCCUCCUGAAGCAGAGAAGUCAUCCCCGCCACUGGCACCGAUCAGCUCA